This 468-nucleotide ribosomal RNA is filed under the name uncultured bacterium. Its description in RNAcentral is "partial 16S ribosomal RNA". It matches the Rfam family "Bacterial small subunit ribosomal RNA", at positions 28 to 507 of the family's 1533-position model. The record is from RNAcentral.
GACGAACGCUGGCGGCGUGCUUAACACAUGCAAGUCGAACGGAAAGGCCCUGCUUUUGUGGGGUGCUCGAGUGGCGAACGGGUGAGUAACACGUGAGUAACCUGCCCUUGACUUUGGGAUAACUUCAGGAAACUGGGGCAAAUACCGGAUAGGAGCCCCUGUUCCAGGGGGGGGGUUGGAAAGUUUCGGCGGUUGGGGUUGGACGCGCGGCUUAUCAGCUUGUUGGUGGGGUAGUGGCUUACCAAGGCUUUGACGGGUAGCCGGCCUGAGAGGGUGACCGGCCACAUUGGGACUGAGAUACGGCCCAGACUCCUACGGGAGGCAGCAGUGGGGAAUAUUGCACAAUGGGCGGAAGCCUGAUGCAGCAACGCCGCGUGCGGGAUGACGGCCUUCGGGUUGUAAACCGCUUUCGCCUGUGACGAAGCGUGAGUGACGGUAAUGGGUAAAGAAGCACCGGCUAACUACGUG